This 253-nucleotide ribosomal RNA is filed under the name uncultured bacterium. RNAcentral's name for it is "partial 16S ribosomal RNA". It matches the Rfam family "Bacterial small subunit ribosomal RNA", at positions 524 to 776 of the family's 1533-position model. The record is from RNAcentral.
UACGGAGGGUGCAAGCGUUGUCCGGAUUCAUUGGGCGUAAAGGGUGCGUAGGCGGCGCGGUAAGUCGGGUGUGAAAUCUCGGGGCUUAACUCCGAAACUGCAUUCGAUACUGCCGUGCUUGAGGACUGGAGAGGAGACUGGAAUUUACGGUGUAGCGGUGAAAUGCGUAGAUAUCGUAAGGAAGACCAGUGGCGAAGGCGGGUCUCUGGACAGUUCCUGACGCUGAGGAGCGAAAGCGUGGGGAGCGAACAGG